CGCCUUGCCAGCCGCUCAGAACUUAAAGGAAUUGACGGGGCCGCACAAGCGGAGGAACAUGUGGUUUAAUUCGAUGAUACGCGAGGAACCUUACCUGGGCUAGAACGCAAUCGGAAUCAGGCCGAAAGGUCUGCGCCAGCGAUGGCCGCUUGCGAGGUGCUGCAUGGUUGUCGUCAGCUCGUGCCGUGAGGUGUCGGGUUAAGUCCCAUAACGAGCGCAACCCCUACUGCUAGUUGCCAGCGGGUCAUGCCGGGGACUCUAGCGGAACUGCCAGCGUAAGCUGCGAGGAAGGUGGGGAUGACGUCAAAUCAGCACGGCCCUUACGUCCAGGGCUACACACGUGUUACAAUGGCCAGUACAGAGGGCAGCCACCCCGCGAGGGGGUGCUAAUCCUAAAAGCUGGUCCCAGUUCGGAUCGGAGUCUGCAACCCGACUCCGUGAAGCUGGAUUCGCUAGUAAUCGCGCAUCAGCCACGGCGCGGUGAAUACGUUCCCGGGCCUU
RNAcentral lists this ribosomal RNA (501 nucleotides) under uncultured Rikenellaceae bacterium. RNAcentral describes it as "bacterial SSU rRNA". It matches the Rfam family "Bacterial small subunit ribosomal RNA", at positions 903 to 1382 of the family's 1533-position model. The record is from RNAcentral. Lineage: Bacteria; Pseudomonadati; Bacteroidota; Bacteroidia; Bacteroidales; Rikenellaceae.